CCCUUAGAUGUUCUGGGCCGCACGCGCGCUACACUGAUGAAUUCAACGAGCACUAACCUGUGCCGAAAGGUUCGGGUAAUCUUGUGAAAUUUCAUCGUGAUGGGGAUUGAUUAUUGCAAUUUUUAAUCAUAAACGAGGAAUGCCUAGUAAGCGUGAGUCAUCAGUUCACGUUGAUUACGUCCCUGCCCUUUGUACACACCGCCCGUCGCUCCUACCGAUUGAAUGUGCCAGUGAAAAGUUCGGAUUGGAGAUAGGAGACGGCAACGUAUCCUAUUUCCGAGAAAAUCUUUAAACUUUCCCAUUUAGAGGAAGGAGAAGUCGUAACA
Molecule: ribosomal RNA, 326 nt
Filed under: uncultured eukaryote
Lineage: Eukaryota
Description: partial 18S ribosomal RNA
Rfam family: Eukaryotic small subunit ribosomal RNA
Source: RNAcentral